Molecule: long non-coding RNA, 233 nt
Organism: Osmia bicornis bicornis
Lineage: Eukaryota; Metazoa; Arthropoda; Insecta; Hymenoptera; Megachilidae
Exons: 3
Source: RefSeq, a predicted model, not a curated record
CUUGUGGUGGUCUUGACCUUGAGUCCUGUGCAUACAUUGAUGGUCUUCCUUCAUACAGAUUUAAUUGUUCCUAAAUAAAUAAAAAAGAAAAGAUAUUAUAUAAACAAUGAAAAGCAACAUAUACUGGUCUCCAAGGAUUCUUUGGGGCAGGUUUAAAAAAUAGAGAGGAAAAAUGAUCUACCUGAACAGCUACUUCUAAAUUCCAGUUAUGCCUUUGCAAAACAUCCCUGCAG